This 740-nucleotide long non-coding RNA is filed under the name Heterocephalus glaber (naked mole-rat). Its description in RNAcentral is "lncRNA (ENSHGLG00000033974.1)". The record is from RNAcentral. Lineage: Eukaryota; Metazoa; Chordata; Mammalia; Rodentia; Bathyergidae.
AAAAAGAAAACGGAGGAAGGGGCCACCAGCCAAGGAAUGAGGACAGCCUUCAGAACCUGGAAAAGUCUCCCACAGACCCCCCAAAAGGAGCACACCCCUCCCUGCAAUGGAUUCCAGCUCACUAGUGGGCCCACCGUUGGUCUCUGACCCAGCAGCACUAGAAGGCCUCCGUUUCUUGCCUAUAUUAUGGGAUGCAGGACGAGAUGACCUCCGAGACCACCCCUGGCCUUAACGUUCUGCAUGUCUGUGAUUGGGCCUCAGCGUUCAUCUUCCUCCUGGAUCUUUGAUUCAAUCGGGAUGAGUCAGGCACUGACAGCCGCCUUGGGCCCUGAGCGCCUGCUCGGAGAGCAGUGCCAGGGCCCAGAAGAUCAGCUCAGAUCCUUGCUGGGUCACAUGCGUGGGUGUCAGCACUUCCUGCCUAGACUUUUCCCUUUGACUCAUGCUUCUCUUGUGUUCGGGAUCCCUGUUCCUCAGCCUUGUUCAUCUGGAAAGGAAGGAGCAUGUGCCAAAAUAAUGAUAAGGAGUCGAAUACAGCAGCCACGGUGGCAAAUGCCUCUAAUCUCCCCGGUUCCGGAAGCUGAGGCAGGAGGAUCCAAGUUCCAACUUAGCAAGACCCUAUCUCAAGGGCAAUGAGAGCCUGCAUCUACACAGACCAGAGCAGCAGCAUUCAGCAGCGGAAAUUGAAUGACCUGACCUGGAGUCCCUUCCCACCACACUGCUGCAGGAUGCCACCAGGGGGC